Molecule: long non-coding RNA, 694 nt
Organism: Rosa chinensis
Lineage: Eukaryota; Viridiplantae; Streptophyta; Magnoliopsida; Rosales; Rosaceae
Exons: 3
Source: RefSeq, a predicted model, not a curated record
CUUCGUAUUCGAUUCCUUCUCCAGCCUCCAGUCCGCCAGUCCUCCUCGGCUCCUCCUCUAAACUCUAGCAGAGCUCGGCUAGUCGGCUUCUCCACUUCAAGUCUCAGAGAUCAAGAGUUCAAGACAUCAAUAGUUCAGUCUUCCUCCCCAAAGUGCUUCGAUUCCUUCUCCAGUUCGUCGCCUCCAGUCCUCCUCCUCUAAACUCUAGCAGAGCUCGGCUUCUCCACUUCAAGUCUCAGAGAUCAAGAGUUCAAGACAUCAAUUUCGUUUAAUUGAAUGUUGUAUUGGAUUGAUGAUUUCAUGGAUUGAAGAAUGAAGGUUGUCUCUUGGUCUGGAAAUCUGGUCAGUGCCUCAGUGGGUUUACUUAAAAUUGUGCAAUUGAGUUUCUGCAGCAAAUAUGGCAUUCUGCUGUGCAAAUGUGCAAUUGAGUGAUUUGAGUCUACUGCUUUCUGAGGUAUUUUUUUCCUUUCUGUUCAUUGUGCAUUAGUAAUUAAGGUGGAUUUGGGUAGGUGGUUUUAUUCAUGAUUGAAUGGUGGAAAGAAUAAUAGUAAUCAGCUACUGUUAGAGAAACAUAUAUACUUGAUCAGUUGAUCGAUUACUAAACAAGAAAGUAGGGACCAAUUAUAUAGGUUGAGAAUGAGAAAUUUCCAGCUUUUGGUAAAAGAAUUAGAUGGAUAGGGUUAAGCAUCUUCUU